GUAGGGAAUAUUGGUCAAUGGACGAAAGUCUGAACCAGCCAUUCCGCGUGCAGGAAGAAGAUUCUAUGGAUUGUAAACUGCUUUUAGCAGAGAAGAAACGCCUUCAUUGAUGAGGGUUUGACGGUAUCUGCGGAAUAAGCACCGGCUAACUCCGUGCCAGCAGCCGCGGUAAUACGGGGGAUGCAAGCGUUAUCCGGAAUCACUGGGAUUAAAGGGUGCGUAGGCGGGAAAUUAAGUCAGUGGUGAAAGUCUGUUGCUUAACGAUAGAAUUGCCGUUGAUACUGAUUUUCUUGAAUUGGGUUGAGGUUAGCGGAAAGUGACAUGUAACGGUGAAAUGCAUAGAUAUGUCAUGGAACACCAAUUGCGAAGGCAGCUAGCUGGGCCUUGAUUGACGCUGAGGCACGAAAGCGUGGGUAGCGAACAGGAUUAGAAACCCGGGUAGUCC
This 445-nucleotide ribosomal RNA is filed under the name uncultured bacterium. RNAcentral describes it as "partial 16S ribosomal RNA". It matches the Rfam family "Bacterial small subunit ribosomal RNA", at positions 354 to 796 of the family's 1533-position model. The record is from RNAcentral.